Molecule: ribosomal RNA, 2593 nt
Filed under: marine sediment metagenome
Description: bacterial LSU rRNA
Rfam family: Bacterial large subunit ribosomal RNA
Source: RNAcentral
UCAAGCUAAAAAGAGCGUAAGGUGAAUGCCUUGGCAUUAGGAGCCGAUGAAGGACGUGGUUAGCUGCGAUAAGCUAUGGGGAGCCGCAAGCAGGCAUCGAUCCAUAGAUUUCCGAAUGGGGAAACCCAGCUGGAGUAAUGUCCAGUUACCUAUACAUGAAUAAAUAGUGUAUAGGAGGGAACCCGGUGAACUGAAACAUCUAAGUAGCCGGAGGAAAAGAAAAUAACGAAUGAUUCCCCUAGUAGCGGCGAGCGAACGGGGACAAGCCCAAACCAAGAACCUUCGGGUUUUUGGGGUUGCGGGCCAGCAAUAUCCAUUCACAAAGGUUAGUCGAAUAGAGUUGGAAAGCUCUGCCGAAGAGGGUAAUAGCCCCGUAGACGAAAACUGGAGUGAGGUAGCUGGUACCAGAGUACCACGGGACACGAGAAAUCCUGUGGGAAGCUGGGGGGACCACCCCCCAAGGCUAAAUACUACCUAAUGACCGAUAGUGAACCAGUACCGUGAGGGAAAGGUGAAAAGUACCCCGGGAGGGGAGUGAAAAAGAACCUGAAACCAUACGCUUACAAACAGAAGGAGCAGCUUUAACUGCUGUGACUUCGUACUUUUUGUAUAACGGACCGGCGAGUUACUAUGCGUAGCAAGGUUAAGGCAUUAAGUGCCGCAGCCGAAGCGAAAGCGAGUCUUAAUAGGGCGAAUUAGUUGCGUGAAGUAGACCCGAAACCAGGCGACCUAUCCAUGUGCAGGUUGAAGCGGUAGUAAAAUACCGUGGAGGACCGAACCCACUAAUGUUGAAAAAUUAGGGGAUGACGUGUGGAUAGCGGAGAAAUUCCAAUCGAGCUUGGAGAUAGCUGGUUCUCCUCGAAAUAGCUUUAGGGCUAGCGUCGAGAUCAAGAUAUAUGGGGGUAGAGCACUGAAUGGGAUAGGGGGCCACAAAGCUUACCGAACCUUAUCAAACUCCGAAUACCAUAUAUUAUACACGGCAGUCAGACUGUGAGAGAUAAGUCACAUAGUCGAAAGGGAAACAGCCCAGAACGCCGUCUAAGGUCCCAAAGUUACAGUUAAGUGGAAAAGGAUGUGUAAUUGCACAGACAACCAGGAUGUUGGCUUAGAAGCAGCCACUCAUUCAAAGAGUGCGUAACAGCUCACUGGUCUAGUGAUUAUGCGCCGAAAAUGUCCGGGGCUAAAACUGUACACCGAAGAUGCGUCUUGAUGCAUUUAUGUAUCAGGGGUAGAGGAGCAUCGUGUGCUAGGCUGAAGCCGAAUCGUAAGAGACGGUGGACGAAACACGAGAGAGAAUGCCGGUAUGAGUAGCGAGAAUGAAGUGAGAAUCUUUAUCGUCGAAAGCCCAAGGUUUCCUGGGGAAGGCUCGUCCUCCCAGGGUAAGUCGGGACCUAAGCCGAGAGCGAAUGCUGUAGGCGAUGGACAACUGGUUGAGAUUCCAGUACCACCAAUAAUUGUUUGACAGAUGCAGUGACACAGAAGGAUAGACGAAGCGCGUUGAUGGUAGAGCGCGUCCAAGCACUGAGGCAGAUGGCAUAGUGAAGUACGUGCUGUUAAUGCUGGGGUGUGAUGGGGACAGAAAAUAAGUAUGGAAGUCGUUGAAUUCACGCUGGCAAGAAAAGCUGCUAUGGAGAUUAGAGGUGCCCGUACCGCAAACCGACACAGGUAGGCGAGGUGAGAAACCUAAGACGAUCGGGAUAACCCUUGUUAAGGAACUCGGCAAAAUGACCCCGUAACUUCGGGAGAAGGGGAGCCACCAUUUAUGGUGGCCGCAGUGAAUAGGCUCAAGCGACUGUUUAGCAAAAACACAGGUCUGUGCGAAAUCGUAAGAUGACGUAUACGGGCUGACGCCUGCCCAGUGCCGGAAGGUUAAGGGGAAGUGUUAGGAUUUAUUCCGAAGCACGGAACUUAAGCCCCGGUGAACGGCGGCCGUAACUAUAACGGUCCUAAGGUAGCGAAAUUCCUUGUCAGGUAAGUUCUGACCCGCACGAAUGGCGUAACGACUUGAGCACUGUCUCAACAAGGGACCCGGCGAAAUUGUAGUACCAGUGAAGAUGCUGGUUACCCGCGAUAGGACGGAAAGACCCCGUAGAGCUUUACUGUAGCUUGGCAUUGAAUUUUGGUAUUAGAUGUACAGGAUAGGUGGGAGACUUGGAAACUAGGACGUCAGUCUUGGUGGAGUCAUCCUUGGGAUACCACCCUUCUAAUACUAGGGUUCUAACAACGUGCUGUGAUCCAGGCGUUGGACAUUGCCAGGUGGGCAGUUUGACUGGGGCGGUCGCCUCCCAAAGAGUAACGGAGGCGCCCAAUGGUUCUCUCAGAAUGGUUGGAAAUCAUUCAUUAGAGUGCAAAAGCAUAAGAGAGCUUGACUGCGAGAGAGACAUCUCGAGCAGGUACGAAAGUAGGGUUUAGUGAUCCGGCGGUAUGAGAGUGGAAUUGCCGUCGCUCAACGGAUAAAAGCUACCUCGGGGAUAACAGGCUUAUCUCCCCCAAGAGUCCACAUCGACGGGGAGGUUUGGCACCUCGAUGUCGGCUCAUCACAUCCUGGAGCUGAAGAAGGUUCCAAGGGUUCGGCUGUUCGCCGAUUAAAGUG